This 469-nucleotide ribosomal RNA is filed under the name uncultured bacterium. RNAcentral's name for it is "partial 16S ribosomal RNA". It matches the Rfam family "Bacterial small subunit ribosomal RNA", at positions 28 to 507 of the family's 1533-position model. The record is from RNAcentral.
GACGAACGCUGGCGGCGUGCUUAACACAUGCAAGUCGAACGGAAAGGCCCUGCUUGCAGGGUGCUCGAGUGGCGAACGGGUGAGUAACACGUGGGUGAUCUGCCCCUUACUUUGGGAUAAGCCUGGGAAACUGGGUCUAAUACUGGAUAGGACCAUGCUGUAGGUGGUGUGGUGGAAAGAUUAGUUUCGGUAAGGGAUGAGCUCGCGGCCUAUCAGCUUGUUGGUGGGGUAAUGGCCUACCAAGGCGUCGACGGGUAGCCAGCCUGAGAGGGCGGACGGCCACAUUGGGACUGAGAUACGGCCCAGACUCCUACGGGAGGCAGCAGUGGGGAAUAUUGCACAAUGGGCGCAAGCCUGAUGCAGCGACGCCGCGUGGGGGAUGACGGCCUUCGGGUUGUAAACUCCUUUCAGCCAUGACGAAGCCCUUGUGGUGACGGUAGUGGUAGAAGAAGCACCGGCUAACUACGUG